CAUUUAAUGAGAAUAAUAAAGUAAGUAUUAAAAAUCCUGUGACUAGGAAGCGCUUUUUCAUGGUGCGUAUUUUUUUUUUUUUUUUUUUUUUUUUUUUUUUUUUUUUUUUUU
Molecule: non-coding RNA, 111 nt
Filed under: Dolichomastix tenuilepis
Lineage: Eukaryota; Viridiplantae; Chlorophyta; Mamiellophyceae; Dolichomastigales; Dolichomastigaceae
Source: RNAcentral